Molecule: long non-coding RNA, 5849 nt
Filed under: Theobroma cacao (cacao)
Lineage: Eukaryota; Viridiplantae; Streptophyta; Magnoliopsida; Malvales; Malvaceae
Description: long non-coding RNA (TCAC_LNC004300)
Source: RNAcentral
CCAAUCCAAUGGACAAGGAAAAAUUCCUUCCUCAUGAAGAGCAGAUUCCGGUGGUUCUUGUUCCUCAUCCUUGCCACACCUCUUUGACACUGGAAAUCCGCACAAUCCCAAGUUGCCACCAUAGGAAUCAUUCAGAAAGGUAUUAAAUUGAUUUCCCUGAGGUAUGAGUCCAACAAGCUGGUUCUGUGACAGGUUUAACACUUCAAGAAAUUUCAAACCAUUUAACUGCAUAGGAAUCUCCCCGACGAGCUUGUUGGUAGAGAGAUCCAGUGACUCAAGUGCUGUUAGCUUCCCCACUGAGGAAGGAAUAUGACCUGUUAGGCUGUUAUGGGAAAAAUUGAGCACUUGGAGAGAAAUGAGGUUUCCAACUAUUUCUGGAAUUUCUCCAUGGAAUUUGUUGCUUGACAUAUCAAUGGUUGUAAAAAGAGUUAGAAUUCUCUCAAGUACCAGGUCCAUACCUUUCAUUGUGACAAGCACGGAAAAAUGGUAAUAACGAUUCAAAUCUUCCAUAGAAGUCCGUUGAACAUUGGACAAAGUCAUCAUACCCCUGAAACUUUUAAAAUAUGUUGUUGGCAAAAGCCCAGAGAACUCAUUGUGGGAGAGGUCUAAGAUUCGCAGAGCUGAGAAGUGCGAUUCAUUUUCUGAAGGGCUUAUUUGACCAUGGAAAUAGUUGGAGCGCAAGACAAGAACUUGCAGCUGAGGAAGAGUUCCCAACCAGUGGGGAAAGGUACCGUUUAUCUUGUUGUUUCCAAGAUUUAACACUUGCAAAUCAUGACAGUUCUCCAAGGAUUUAGGAAACGGCCCAUCAAAAUCAUUGUUGUUGAGGUUAAGUAUCUGUAAUUUGUUUCCUACAACGAACGAAUCAGGGAUGUUUCCAUGAAAUUUAUUCAUGUGCAAAUCUAGGACCGUAAGAUUAGGCAUCUUACCUCUCGAGGCCAGACAAUCUGGAAUAGCUCCGCUCAACUCGUUAUUGGACAAGUCAAGAACUGAAAUUGAUAUCAAAUUACAUAUGGAAUAAGGAAUUUCUCCAACCAACUUGUUUUUUGAGAUUAAGAAAACUUCCAUCGAAGAAUUGGAAGAGAAAUUAGAUAAUGAGCAAUCAACUUUAAAGUUCAAGGACAAGAGGAGGAAACAAAGGACCAAAUACCACUGUAUUAACCCCUUCAUUUUUUUUUCUCAGAAAUGGUGAAAGAAGCAAAAUAGAAAACUGAAUGUGAAGGUUGAGAGAGAUAAGAAUGGAGACCGUAUUUAUACAUAUGAUUUCAAGCAAACAACCACCAGUCAUGUUCACACAUUCAAACAACCAUUUUUAUUACUGAUAUAGACUACAACCCGUGCUUUGCAUACAGACCUCUUUUUAUUUGUUUUUUUCUUUCUCUUUCUACCUCUUUUUUUUUUUUUUCUUCUCUUUUUCCUAUGCCUUUCACGUAGGUAAAGGAGGAAGCCCUAAGUAUGUUAUAAAUUUUUUAAAAGAAAAUUAUUUCAUAUAUUGUUAAUUUGUAAAUUUCAUUAACUAAAUUAAUUAGAUUGUCACAUACUUCAAUAUUAGAAUAUAUUUAAAAAAUUAAUAAUUUAAUAUCAUACAUAAAAAAAUAUGUAACGAUAUUUUAACUUUAAGUUGGAAACAUGGGAUUGUAGUUCUUUUUUUUUCAACCCCCAAUGAUUCAAGUAACCAAAAAACUUAUCGGGAUAUCAAGAGUAUUAUUUCAUAAAACCAAGACUUUCACUUGUCAUGUUUUUACCUUGGUAUGAACGUGGGACUCAAACCAAAGGACUAACAACAUGACUUUUAUGUCUUCUUAAAAAGCAUAAAAUUGAAGGCUAAUCUCUAAGAAUGAAACAGGUAAGAAUUGAACGUGAACGUAUCAUUGAUAUAAAAUAUAAAAAUAUUAUAUAAUUAUAUUAUUAUAUUAUAUCAAUCUAUCAUAUUUAAAGAUAAAGCUCUUUUAAUGGAUCUAAAAAAAUUUUUAAAUUUAUUUUAUAUUAUAUAAAAUUUUUAAUUUUUUUAUAAAUUCUUUUAAUAUCUUUUCUAAAAUAACUUUUAAUUUAAUAAUUAAUGUAAAUAAAAAAUAACAAAAUGAUUCCAUAUGCUUGACUCAAUUUAAAAGUUUUGUUUUAUUUUUUUUCAAUUUAUAUUUUAAUUAUUUAUAUUUACUUUUUUUCAUUUCUAUUAUAUUUAUUCAUAUGUUUUAAAUCUUUAUAAAUUUUCUUCCACAAAUUUCAACGAACAAUCAGUCAUAUUCUUUUUCCUUCUUUUUACUAUGUCAUAUGUGAGUUUAUCUUAUACUUGCCAUGUUUAUAUUUUUUCUAUUAUGUGAAUUUUAUUUUUAUGAUUUUAGUCUUUAAAUAUUAAUAAAUUAUUAUAUAAUUUUCAAAUAUAAGUUGCAAUAUUGUACUAUUGUUUAAAAUUUUAUCAAUAUAUCAUUUUUUAUUCAGAAUAACCGAUACGCUCUAACAUGUAUGUUUCAUACUUUAAGUAACAAGGAUAUAUAUACAAAUUAAUAAAAUUAAAUGAUCGUAUUUCUUUCAAUACAAUUUAUUUAUUAUAUAUAUUUUUAAUGACCCUCAAAAUAAUUUUUUAUUUAAUAAUUAUUUUUAUUCCUCAAAUUAUUUGAUAAUAUUACAGUCAUUAUGGUCAAUAUUUCACUAGUUAAUCCCAACAAAUAAAAUAUUCUAACAUAAUAUGUUAAGCCUAUCAAGUUUUAAAGAAAAAAUAAAUUGACUCUACUAACCUAAACCCAUUAAAUUUUAAUAAAAAUCUAAACAUAUCAUAACAUAUUAUAUCUUAACAGUCCAACCCAAUAGCUUAUCAUAACAUAUUAUAUUUCAAUAGUUCAACUCAAUAACUUAGUAUGUUAAUUAACAAUUUAAGAGGUAAAUAAAAAAUAAAAAAAAAGAGCUUUUUUAAAAAGUUAUUCAUUUUGUAUAAAACACACAAAGUAAAGAGACAUUUGAAUUUGAAAAUUUGUUUUCUCUUCCACUUUUGGGCACAGAGAGUGAAAAAGACUCAUUUCAUAAUUUCAUUCCGUUUAUAUAUAUAUAACGCCAUUAUUACUAUUAAUGUGUAUUUUUUUAUAUAUCCAAUGUUUUAUGAAUUUUAUUUAAUCUUUUAGAUGAGUGAAAAUUAAAUGGUAUAUAAAGUUCUCUGUGACUGUUUAAUGUCUCUUUCUAUUUGAUUCUCUUUAAAAUGCUUUAACUUCGUCAUUGAUCACGUCAUCAUAAUUAUGAUAUAUUAACAUGCUAUGUCAACGUUACGUGAUAUAAAAUGAUAAUUAAUAUUUUGAUUAAAUCAAUCUUUAAUUAUAAUUUUUUUAAGGUUUGGCAGAUGAGAAUUAGGCCACGUCUCUUAACCAUCCAGUUUGCUAAAGGUUGCAAAUUAUUAUAGCCAACUUACCGGUUUAGAUCAUUAUUGGACUCUCCUCAUGUUUCUUCGAAAGUUUUUUUGUUAAAUAGAGACUCUGGUCAAUUGUUAGUAUUGAAUCGCUUUCUUAAUUGAAUUUUUUGAUUAAUUGUCAGUGUUGAAUCACUUUCUUAAUUGAAUUUUACAUAGAAAAUUCAUUCUUUCUUCGAUAUUUCAAAAAAAUAAUCAUAAUUUUUUUUCUUGUUUGAUUAUUAAAUGAAACCAAUUUCUUUUCUAUCUGUCCCCAAAGGUCCCACAACCUUCAUACUCAAUUUUAAAUAUAAAAAUUGAUUGAUUGAUGAAAUUAAUGUAUUUGAUAAUUUUUUCUCUAAUUAAUUUUAAACAGUAACCUUUUUGUUAGAAAAAAUAUAUAGAAAAAAAAAAGAAUGGAUGAAAAAAGAAGAAAAGGCCCAAAACAUCUUUCACCACCAAAAAGCCCAAAACCACUUUCAAUCAAACAACGUUAAAGUCCAGAAACACAAGUAAUGACACGAGUUCGGCUUAAGGUUUAUCCAAAACGACAUACAGUUUUCAUAUCUCUGUCUCCAUUGAUCGUGAAACAAUGGAGGGACGGAUAAAAUACCCUAAAAUUCAAAGAGUAGACUACCAGUCCAAAUUCUUCUCUUAGGUAUUUUUAAUUUUUUUCUUCUCUUGUUAAAAUGUGUUUGGUUGCCUAGAAAACAAAGGAAAAGGAACUAGAAAGCUUGUAAUUCUGUUUCUUUUAUGUUUUUCUAUUUGGCUUUUUGAUAAAACAUUUGGGUUUUGCUAGAAUUGUUAAAUAAAUAAAUAACAUUAACGGAGAUAACUAUGAUAAAGAGAACGAAUUUUUUUUUUUACUGUUGACAAAUGGUGUUAAUAAUAAAAAAAACUAAAAUAUCAUUUUGAAACAAGAAAAAUUAAAGUGUCUUUUCAAAAUGUUUUAACGGGUUUUUUGAGUUUUACCCUUUGGAGAUCUUGAUUUUGUUACGAGAUACUUCAUUGAUCAAAAUUUUCUCUUUUGCUUGGUUAUUAAAUGGAGCCAAUUUCUCUUCUUUCUGUUACCAAAACAACCACAGCCCUUUCACUCAAUUUUAAAGAUACAAAUUGAUUGAUUGAUGAAAUUAAUGUGCUUGAUAAUUUUUUUUUCCUCAAAUUAAUUUAAACUGUAACGCUUCUGUUAAAAAAUAUAUAAAAGAUUACAAAAAUAAAAAAUUGGAUAAAAAGGGGGAAAAGGCCCAAAAUCCCUUUUAUAGUUUUAUUUAUAUACCAAAACAAAAGGCCUAAUAUGCCUCUGACGAUUUUCUUAAAGUAAAUGACAAAAUCCUUUAAGUGAUCUUUGAUGUCUUACAAUUUGAAGUGAAUCAAAUUUGCAAUUGAAUUUGACUAUUGUGAUCCGCUCAUUCAAGUAACCAAAAAACUUAAUCAGGAUUUUAAGAGUACUAUUUCUCACAAGCACAUUAGACAGCAUCUGUAGAAUCCAAUUACUUUGCGUCUGUAGCAAGCAGUGUUUUGCGUGAAGAAAAUUAUGGCGUACUCUUUGGGGCCGGGGUCCUCAAAGCUCAUAAGACCAAGACCUUUGCCUACCACUUUUCCACCCCUGCGUGAAGGUGGGACUUAAACCAAGGACUUACAACAUGACUUUGGCCUGCCACUUUUCCACCCCUGCGUGACAGUGGGACUCAAACCAAAGCACUAACAGCAUGACUCUGAAAUGUUCUCCUAAACAGCGUAGUAGUGGAGGCUAACUAUUGAGAAUGGAGCUGACAAGAAUUGGACAGGUCGUUGAUGCUAAUACUCUUUGAAUGAGAAUAAUAUGGAGAUUCUCUUUCAUCUUCACCAAAAUACUGAAUAUCAAUUUGAUAAAAUCAAUGUGUUAUCCAGGGCAACAAGAGAUUGGAUUUUAUAGGGCAUUAUAAGGCAUACAGGAGAACAAAAGACAGUUAUAAUACGCAAAUGUAUUCAACAAACCAACGAAGAGCAGCAUCUGUCUUCGCAGAGUUUCUUCUUCCUCAAUUAUAACUCUUCAAUCUCCUCAGAAUUUUGUAGCCUAGUCUUUGAACCAUCCUAACUAGCCAUUCUGGUUUUCCAAUUGUCAGCAUGAUAUACCCUGUAGAUAAUCCAAGCACCAGUCCACAUCCAUAACCCAUCAUUACAAAUUUCCAAUCCAAUGGACAAGAAUAAAUUCCUUCCUCAUGGAAAGCAGAUUCCGGUGGUUCUUGUUCCUCAUCCUUGCCACAGCUCUUUGACACUGGAAAUCCGCACAAUCCCAAGUUGCCACGAUAGGAAUCAUUCAGAAAGGUAUUAAAUUGAUUUCCCUGAGGUAUGAGUCCAACAAGCUGGUUCUGUGACAGGUUUAACACUUCAAGAAAUAUCAAACCAAUCAACUGCAUAGGAAUCUGCCCAACAAGCUUGUUGGUAGAAAGAUCCAGUGACUCAAGUGCUGUUAGAUUUCCCAGUGAGGAAGGAAUAU